UUCUGAUGUCGAUUAAGUUGUGAGUAAAGAAGAAAGUUCUUCCCACAUUCUUGACAUUCAUAGGGUUUCUCACCAGUAUGAAAUCUCUGAUGCAGAGUAAGUUGAUAGCUAUGACUAAAAACUUUCCCACAUUUCUCACAUUUACAGGAUUUUUCACCAGUAUGAAUUUUCUGAUGGAGAGUAAGCUGGCAGACCUUAUUCAAGGCCUUUUCUCCAAAGGCCUGAGGCCUCUGAGAGGAACUACCUGCACAGCAUGCAAAGCCUAUGUAUGCUCCCUCACCAGCUGGCCGCGACUGGCAAUGAGGGCUUCCAUCUGCCUGAUGAACUCUCAACUCACCUGGGUACUGUCUUCCUGUCACAUCCCUCACCGCCACGCAGGGCUCUUUCCCUUGCUCCAAUAAGGUAAUCACAUCUGGCUUUGAGCCAGAAUAUCCUGCUUCCAAGAAAGAAAUACAAGAAUAUAUAGAAGUAAAACAUUGCACAUUCAGAAACAUUUUGAGACUUGGUUAAAUUCAUAUGGAUCAAUGUGAUUUCGAUAAAGACUUCAGAAAAAACUGACAGGAUUAAAGAAUAUUCAACUUAGUGUAACCUCAGGAUCCCAGAGAAUAAAGAAACUUGAUGGGCAGGGGAAUUAAAAUUCAUCCAGGAGAAUUUUAAUUCAUUUUAGAAUUAAAACUCAUACAGACUGGGUCUAUUGAGAGGCAGUAGUUAUUGAGGGCACAGACUCUGAAGCCAGACUACGUGGGUCCAAAUUCUACUCUGCUACCUAUUGACUAAUGAUUGUAAACAAACUGGUUAAAUUCUUUGGGCCUCAGUUUUUUCAUCUGUAAAAUGAAAAUAAAAGUAGUACCUUUUAUUUUCUUUUUUUCUUUUGUAUCUCAUAGCUAAUACUUAGAAUGGUGCCUGGUAUUCAGUAAGCACUCUAUUAGCUAUUAUUAUUUUUGUUGUUGUUAAUUUACUUAGAGCAAAACAAGAAGCUUCCUAAGAUAUUUCUAGGUUCUUGCUAAGAUAUUCAUUUAAAGUUAGAUGCUAAGUUAGUAAAUUUUAUUUUACUCUAACUAAUUUCAACUUUUAUUUUAGAUACAGGGCCAAAUGUGCAGGUUUGUUACCUGGGGAUAUUGUGUGAUGCUGAGGUUUGAGGUACAUUUGAUCCCACCACCCAGGUACUGAGCAUAAUGUCCAAUAGGUAAAACUUCCAGUCACAAAUCAGUAAGAGAAAAUGUUUGUUUUAGGAAGUAGAAUGCAUUCACUUUAAGUCAAUUUUAUUGGUCUGAACCAUGGCAUGUAAAUUGUAGACCCUGGGUGGGGCUGUUAUCCUCGCAGGCAUGUUACUAAAUAACAGAGCAUCCAUAGCAAUUCUGAACUCAAAUGCAAUGUGAAACCUGAUUUCAUUGACAUUGGCUUUGGAGUAAAUGCCCCAAAAUUCAAAUCCAGUCUCUUAACUAUUAAGGGAGAAGCAACUACAGGAAUGGAUUAAGGAACAUUUCAUGAGGCUCAGUGAGGUAUGGUGAAAAUGAAAGCAUUUAGUGCAAGUGCCAUUCACAAACCAUCAAAGUUCAGUCCAGUCCUUGAGGAAGAGAGAAGAAAUUCAGCUAGUUUCUUAAUAAUGACUCCUAAAUUUGUGGAAGAGAAAGCUACUAUUUCAGAAAACGGAGUCUACAUUAUUUGACAUAGGUGACCUUACCCAGUGAGACCAAGUUACUAUAAUUCUCCAACAUCACAUCUCUGUACAAUUUCCUCUGAGUAGUGUCCAGGCACUCCCAUUCCUUCUGAGAGAAGUCUAUAGCCACAUCCCUGAACGUCACCAAUGCCUGAAACCAUAAACCAACAUAUUACUGGUGAAAUUACACAACAAGUCUUUUAAAAAGAAGCAAAGGAGAUAAAAGGUUUCAUUGCAGCAGGGGGUACCAUACUAAACUCUAGGCUGGGGCUGAAAGCUUAUGAUAAAGAGAGAAGAAAGGAACCAGGUGUUCUAAAGCAGAGUCACCUCAUUUUCUUGAAGAAUCCAGCCAAUGUAUACAAAAUUUCCUGUAUAUUACGGGGUUCUUUACUCAAAACAUUCCUGGGAACAAAUAAAUGUUUCCCAAUUCAAUUAAACAGUGGAUACAAGCAAAUAAACUAUAUUUCUACCUCAAAAA
This is a non-coding RNA of Macaca mulatta (Rhesus monkey), 2138 nucleotides long. NCBI's taxonomy places the organism in Eukaryota, Metazoa, Chordata, Mammalia, Primates, Cercopithecidae. The record is from RefSeq and is a predicted model, not a curated record.